AACUUUUCAACUUGAGAACUCUGCAUUAGUGAAACUAAAGAGAAAUUUUUUAGCCCAAAGCGGACCAAAGCUAUUUAGAAGAGUUGACCUUUCCAACAAUCGCAUUACAGAAAUUUCAUCCAAGCUUUAAUCGGACUAAAAUAUUGAAGCCACUUGUUGUUUUUUAUACUUAUGCUUAUUGAUAUGAAA
This is a long non-coding RNA of Zophobas morio, 189 nucleotides long. RefSeq lists it as uncharacterized. The transcript is spliced from 3 exons. Lineage: Eukaryota; Metazoa; Arthropoda; Insecta; Coleoptera; Tenebrionidae. The record is from RefSeq and is a predicted model, not a curated record.